Molecule: ribosomal RNA, 449 nt
Filed under: uncultured bacterium
Lineage: Bacteria
Description: partial 16S ribosomal RNA
Rfam family: Bacterial small subunit ribosomal RNA
Source: RNAcentral
AGCGAACGCUGGCGGCAGGCCUAACACAUGCAAGUCGAACGAACUCUUCGGAGUUAGUGGCGGACGGGUGAGUAACACGUGGGAACGUGCCUUUAGGUUCGGAAUAACUCAGGGAAACUUGUGCUAAUACCGAAUGUGCCCUUCGGGGGAAAGAUUUAUCGCCUUUAGAGCGGCCCGCGUCUGAUUAGCUAGUUGGGGAGGUAACGGCUCACCAAGACGACGAUCAGUAGCUGGUCUGAGAGGAUGACCAGCCACACUGGGACUGAGACACGGCCCAGACUCCUACGGGAGGCAGCAGUGGGGAAUCUUGCGCAAUGGGCGAAAGCCUGACGCAGCCAUGCCGCGUGAAUGAUGAAGGUCUUAGGAUUGUAAAAUUCUUUCACCGGGGACGAUAAUGACGGUACCCGGAGAAGAAGCCCCGGCUAACUUCGUGCCAGCCGCCGCAGUAA